Molecule: small RNA, 498 nt
Filed under: Pan troglodytes (chimpanzee)
Lineage: Eukaryota; Metazoa; Chordata; Mammalia; Primates; Hominidae
Description: processed transcript
Source: RNAcentral
UUUUUAUUUAAAUACAUUUAUUUGAACCGGCCUGGGGGAGGCUUGAUGUUGAUGGGUUGGUGAUUAAAGCCUCCCAAAGCCAAUCCUUGGCAUGGCCUUUGGGACUCAAAACACAGGAUCUGACUGGUGGGCACAAUACCAUCUUGAACGCCCACAAAAAGGUUUGGUUUUGUUGCCAAAGGGCAGGUGGCUCCAGGCAGGGCUGAUGGUGGCAGGUGGGGGUGAGGAGCCUGCGGUGCUCCCCAGAAAAGGGGAAGGGGCAGUGGGGUGAGAAGGUCCUGGCUCCCCUUCUCCCGGCCUUCCUCUGCCUGGGGCCCACUGCAUCUGAUUGGCAGUCACUUCCCAUGAGGGCCUGGCCCACCCACUGCAGUUGCCCUAAGGAAAAAUAAAGCUGCCUUUCCCCUGUCCUGCUGUGGCCAAAGUGUCCUUGCUCCAGGUUCCUGCCCUGGGCUUGGGCCUCCGUCUGGGCUGCUCACAAGACCUUCUUUUUGGGAGACA